GCAAAGCGGAAGUGUGGCGCUUAACGGGAACCGGCGCCCGGAAUGUCAGCGUGUGAAGUAGGCGCUGGCAACGCGGGGUUACCCGCUGUUAUUGAGAAGUAACGGCCCAGCGGACCACCCAGGCUUGAGGCAGCGGCGGGAACCACUCGGUUUGCUGCGAUACCAUGGAAGGAGGCGGGGGAAGCGGCGACAAAACCACAGGGGUAUUGGCCGGUUUUUUCGGAGCCGGCGGAGCAGGUUACUCGCACGCGGAUUUGGCUGGCGUCCCGCUAACUGGUAUGAACCCUCUGUCUCUUUAUUUAAAUGUGGAUCCACGAUACCUCGUGCAGGAUACAGAUGAGUUUAUUUUACCUAUCGGAGCUAAUAAAACCUGGGGCAGAUUUGAGCUGGCCUUCUUUACGAUUGGAGGAUGUUGCAUGACAGGGGCUGCGUUUGGGGCAAUGAAUGGUCUUCAGCUAGGAUUGAAGGAAACCCAGAACAUGGCCUCAUCCAAACCAGGAAAUGUACAGAUUUUGAAUAUGGUGACUAGGCAAGGGGCACUUUGGGCUAAUACUCUAGGUUCUCUGGCUUUGCUCUAUAGUGCAUUUGGUGUCAUCGUUGAGAAAACACGAGGUGCAGAAGAUGACCUUAACACAGUAGCAGCUGGAACCAUGACAGGCAUGUUGUAUAAAUGUACAGGUGAGUACUGUUGAAUGGGGAGCCAUCUCUUAAUAUACUUGAAGUGCGCUUUUUAAAAUUCAUGGUUUUCAAGGAAAUUACACUCUGUUGCAGUAUAAUCUAGUGUUCUAACUUUAUGGUUAUUUUGGUUUGGUUUGGUUUUUAAUUGUGGUAAAAUAUGAGAUUUACCCAUCUUAACCAUUUUUAAGUAUACAGUACAUUAGUAUUAUAGUCACAUGAUUAUAUAACCAAUCUCUGGAACUUUUUCAUCUUGCAAAACUGAUACUCUGUACCUAUUAAGCCUCCCAAUUUACCACUUCUUUAGUUCCUGAUAAUGUUACACUUUCUGUCUCUGAAUUGGCUGCUUUAGGCACCUCAUAUAAGUAGAAUCAUACAAUAUUUGUCCUUUUUUGAUUGGCUUAUUUUACGUAGCAUAAUAUCCUCAAGGUUCAUCCAUGUUGUUGCAUGUGCCAGAAUUCCCUUCCUUUUUAAAGCUAAAUAAUAUUCAUUCUGUGUAUGUGUACCACAUUUUGCAUGUGCAUUCUUUUAUCAAGGAAUAUUUGGGUUGCUUCUACCUUUUGGCUAUUGUGAAUAAUGCUGCUACGAAUAUGGAUGUACAAAUAUCUCUUCAAGGUCCUUCUUUCUUUUUUUGGAUAUAUGUGCAGAAGUGGGAUUCUUGGAUCAUAUGGUUUAUGGUGGUUUUUUGACAUUAAGAAUAUAAGAUUCUUUUCUGUAUUUUUCAUUCAUUUUAGUUUAGUUUUUUUAAUCUUGGACAGACUAAGCAAUAGAAUAUUCAGAAUUGUUGGUUUUGUUUUAAACAAUAGUUUGACCUGUGACAUCAGCAUAUUAAACUAUCACAAGACACACACAAGGUCGAAGCCCAGGAAUGACUUCCCUGUAAGUCAAUUUAGAGCAUCUUAUUCCUAUGAUCAUCUUACUCUACUGGGAGAUCAACAUGUUGCUGUCAAGGGUCAGAUAAUUCUCUUCUGUGAUAAGUUUUACUAGUUUAGAAGCAUACAUCCAAGUAAUGCCUAAUUUAGCUUUUUUAUUAUGUUGAUACAUCUUUGGCUACUUAAUUUUUAUUUUUAUCAAAAUAAUCCACAUACGUGAUUUUUUAAGUCAAGGUUUUUAUCUUAACGUUUAAAAGAUUUUAAUGAUGUUUAAUCCACAUACUUGAUUUUUUAAGUCAAGGUUUUUAUCUUUUUAACAUCUAAAAGAUUUUAAUGAUGUGCAACAGUGUUCUAUACGUCUCACCUUAAUUCCCUUUUCCCAAAGGCAACUUUUAAAUUUUUUUUUUUUUUUUCUUUUUUGAGAGGGAGUCUUGCCUGGGUGUUAGAACAAGCCUCUGGCUCGAAAUGACAUGACAUGACAUGACAUGAUGAAAUGAAAUAAUGAAAUGAAUAAUGAAAUGCGUGUGGUGCACUCCAGCCUGGGCAAUGCAGCAAGUCUCUGUCAUGAAAUGGAUUGAAAUUGAAUGGGAAUGGGAAUAUGGGAAUGGAAUAAGUGAAAUGAAGAAAUAUGAAAUGCCAGGUGUGGUGGUGCACUCCAGCCUGGGUGAUAGAGCGAGUCUCCAUCUUGAAGUGAAAUGAAAUGAAGUGAAGAAAUGAAAUAAAUGAAUACUGAAAUGAAAUAAUAAAAUGAAAUGCCAGGUGUGGUGGCACACUCCAGCCUGGGCAAUAGAGCACGUCUCCAUCUUGAAAUGAAAUGAAAUAAGUGAAAUGAGAAAUGAUGAGAUGAAAUAUGAAAUGCUGGGUGAAAUGAAUAAUGAAAUGCCAGGUGUGGUGGCGCAGUCCAGCCUGGGUGAUAGAGCGAGUCUCUGUCUUGAAAUGAAAUGAAAUGAUCAAAUAAAAUGAUGAAAUGAAAUAAUGAAUAAUGAAAUUCUGGGUGCAGUGGCGCACUCCAGCCUGGGCAAUAGAGGGAGUCUCCGUCUCGAAAUGAAAUGAAAUGAAAUGAUGAAAUGAAAUAAUGAAAUGAAUAAUGAAAUCCCGGGUGAAAUGAAAUGAAAAAAUGAAAUAAAUGAAAUGAUGAAAUGAAAUAAUGAAAUGAAUAAUGAAAUGCCAGGUGCAGUGGCACACUCCAGCCUGGGUGAUAGAGCGAGUCUCUGUCUCAAAUGGGAUGAAAUGAAAUGAAGAAAUGAAAUAAUGAAUAAUGAAAUGCCGGGUGAAAUGAAAUGAAAUGAAGAAAUAAUGAAAUGAAAUGAAUAAUGAAAUGCUGGGUGUGGUGAUGCACUCCAGCCUGGGUGAUAGAGUGAGACUCCGUUUUGAAAUGAAAUGAAGGAGAUGAAAUGAUGAAAUAAAUAUGAAAUGGAAUAUGAAAUGCUGGGUGCAGUGGCUCACACUUGUAAUCCUAGCACUUUGGGAGGCCUAGGUGGGUGGAUCACUUGAGGUCAGGAGUUCAAGAUCAGCCUGGCCAACAUGGUGAAACCCUGUCUCUACUAAAAUACAAAAAUUAGCCGGGCAUGAUGGCAGGUGCCUGUAAUCCCAGCUACUCGGGAGGCUGAGAGAGGAGAAUCGCUUGUACCCAGGAGGUAGAGGUUGCGGUGAGCAGAGAUCACACCACUGCACUCCAGCCUGGGCAAUAGAACGAGUCUCCAUCUCAGAAUGAAAUGACAUGACAUGAUGAAAUGAAAUAAUGAAAUUAAUAAUGAAAUGUGGGUGGCACACUCCAGCCUGGGUGAUAGAGUGAGUCUCUGUCAUGAAAUGAAAUGGGAAAUGAAAUAUGAAAUGAAUAAUGAAAUGCUGGGUGCACUCCAGACUGGGCGAUAGAGCGAGUCUCUGUCUUGAAAUGAAAUGAAACAAAUGAAAUGAAAUGAAGUGAGAAAUGAAAUGAUGAAAUGAAAUACGAAAUGCCGGGUGAAAUGAAAUGAAUAAUGAAAUGCUGGGUGUGGUGGCGCACUCCAGCCCGGGUAAUAGAGCGAGUCUCCAUCGAAAUGAAAUGAAAUGAGAUG
This is an RNA transcript of Pan troglodytes (chimpanzee), 3604 nucleotides long. It is a transcript of the gene named translocase of inner mitochondrial membrane 23 homolog B, with no coding region annotated. NCBI's taxonomy places the organism in Eukaryota, Metazoa, Chordata, Mammalia, Primates, Hominidae. The transcript is spliced from 7 exons. The record is from RefSeq and is a predicted model, not a curated record.